This 490-nucleotide ribosomal RNA is filed under the name uncultured bacterium. RNAcentral's name for it is "partial 16S ribosomal RNA". It matches the Rfam family "Bacterial small subunit ribosomal RNA", at positions 30 to 507 of the family's 1533-position model. The record is from RNAcentral.
AUUGAACGCUGGCGGCAGGCUUAACACAUGCAAGUCGAGCGGUAGCACAGGGGAGCUUGCUCCCUGGGUGACGAGCGGCGGACGGGUGAGUAAUGUCUGGGAAACUGCCUGAUGGAGGGGGAUAACUACUGGAAACGGUAGCUAAUACCGCAUAACGUCGCAAGACCAAAGAGGGGGACCUUCGGGCCUCUUGCCAUCAGAUGUGCCCAGAUGGGAUUAGCUAGUAGGUGGGGUAAUGGCUCACCUAGUCGACGAUCCCUAGCUGGUCUGAGAGGAUGACCAGCCACACUGGAACUGAGACACGGUCCAGACUCCUACGGGAGGCAGCAGUGGGGAAUAUUGCACAAUGGGCGCAAGCCUGAUGCAGCCAUGCCGCGUGUGUGAAGAAGGCCUUCGGGUUGUAAAGCACUUUCAGCGAGGAGGAAGGUGGUGAGCUUAAUACGUUCAUCAAUUGACGUUACUCGCAGAAGAAGCACCGGCUAACUCCGUG